This is a long non-coding RNA of Morone saxatilis (striped sea-bass), 1554 nucleotides long. RefSeq lists it as uncharacterized. The transcript is spliced from 2 exons. The record is from RefSeq and is a predicted model, not a curated record. Lineage: Eukaryota; Metazoa; Chordata; Actinopteri; Moronidae.
ACGGUAUGCAACAGCAGUGGGUUUCAUGAUCUGCUUCACCAUCUGGCCUCAGUUCACACCCAUCUUUUGACGCUGGUUGCAAUUUGUUGAGUCUGAGCGAUGGUGUACUCUGAUAUGUAACAUUAACACUUUUACAAGGCUAAAAAUAGAGCUUAUAAUCCUCCGGCUGCGCUGUGAUCCAGCACAAUAAUUACAGAGAAAAUAAAAGUUUAAUCACCAAACUCGUGAAGGAGGAGCUUCCCCGUGAUCCACUUUCUUCUGUGGUUUUAAACAAUGUUAGAAGUUGCAGCUGGUCGCUCUGUCUGGCGUCCAGAAGAAGAAAAGGUGCCAGAACAUUUGUGUUGAAGGGAGGAACCGAUCAGCACCUGCUAGUGAGCUGGCAGAGGACGACUGGGAAAGAUUGAAGAUCUAAAAAUGUAGUGAGGAUGACCUGGAACCGGCACGCAGAGACCUGAACUCAGCAGUUUGGAGAAAGAGUUUGACAACUUUAAAACCCUUUUUUGAAUUGUUUAACUACCUUCCCAACAUGCUGCAUGAAACCAACGGACUCACUGAGAAUGCUGUCAAUCACAAGGUAGCCCCGCCCUAAAGCAUACCCUGCUUUAUGGUCUGUUUUACUGCUAAAUGGGCAUCAGUUUACUAAAUGAACAUCAUGCGUAUGUGAAGAAGACUGAAAACUAGAGACUGAGACCAGAAACUCAUCAGGAAAUCAGGUAUCUGUUUAUAUUGCAACCAGUAGCGCUGCCCCCUGCUGGCCUUUACAUAGAAUGCAGGUUUCAGACACUUGGCUAUGUAUACUGUUAAUUUACUGAAGUAAAAUAAACUACAUUAACUGACAUUAAAGGACCAAUGUGAAGGAUUUAGUGGCAUCUAAUGGUGAAAUUUCAGACUCCAACUAACUGAUCUGAACUCUUGAGGCCACGAAACUCAACAAAAACACGAUUCCUAUAUUCAGGUAAUUAUACACUAAUAAAAACAUACUUAUGAAUGUUAUAUUAUAUUUCUGCCAACAGAUCUUCCUCAAUGUUUCACACUGGAGCUUUAACUGACCUUCAGAGGUUGCUUUAACCCUGAGAGAAGUGAAAGUUUGACCUUCCCUGACGCUGAAAUACUGAUGACUCUUUGUUGUUUUAUUUUGAGUGUGUACAGUGAAACCGGAGAGCCGUGAGAACGAUUCGGAGAAAUCAGUGUUUAUUUUACUGAGCUGUACCGACUGUAUUCAGGCCUCUCACUGAACCCACACAGAUAAAUAUUUAAUAUAGGAACAAUUUGUUUAAAGAAUACAAAACACAUUUUUAUUUACUGUGUGACCUUUGGGGGUCCACGAUCCCCAGGUUGAGAACCACUGAUCUACAUCACUCCCUCUUUGUGAUAUUCUCAGGUUUAUUCUUAAAUAAUCUGCAACAAUCAGGUUGAACUUUAACUCUCCUGAGCUCGAGGAUGUAUGGAAGCACAUAACUGCCAAUGUGACAGGGAAAAUAUAUAUUCUAUUCUAUAUAAUGAGAAACUGUCUUAGUAAAUCACUUAUUAUCUCAAAAUAAUGAGUUAAUAUCU